UUAUGAUGAUUGGUUUAGUUAGCUACAUUAGUGUUAUUUUGUCUAAUUAUCAAGGAUAACAUUCAAUUAUAUAUAAUAUGUCCUUCAUAUUUUCUCUUUUAAUUAAAAUCGUAAAAAGACUUGCAAUAUAGACCAUGCAUUUGUUAUGUUAUUUAUUGGAGUGAAUUGGUGUUUUUAUUGUGAUUGUCAAAUACUGUCUUUGUAAGUUAUCUAUUUUGUAUAUAUGAAAUCAACGAGAGUUUCACUCUUAUGGAAGGAUGUUGCCAGGUACCAAGAAGUAAGAACUGAUAGUUGUGUUAAUUAAUUAGUAUAAGUUAGCUCAAUGUUCAAUGUUCAAUGUUCAUGCUCUUUUGAGCUACAUAUGGCAAUGAAAAUUGAGUUUCUGUGUAAAAUAUGAAGCUAUUCAAUCAAGCAACUCUGCUUUUCAAUUUUCUUACAUCUAAGUCAAAUUCUUUUAUAAAUCUUCAAGAGAACAAAGUUAAUGCAGGUUCGUACUUAUUAAAUUUAACAUCAGACAAUGAAGUGUAAAAAGUGAAAUUCUUAUCUAUGAUAAGCACCUAAAAUAAUUGCAUUGAGUUUUUCAAUUUUCAAAUUUUCAUUGCUAACUCAACAAUUGAGAGACUGAAACAUAUGGAAUAAGAAAUUAACAUAUUCAAACCAAACGAGUAUUCAACUUAGAUGAUUCAAUAUAACACCUAAUAAGCUUAUGAGUCUUAUUUAAGGAAUAUUAUAAUUUUACUUGGAUUGCUAGAAAUCACGGGAUGUUAUUCAUUUAAGUAUAUGAUACACUUGUUUGAUGAAUUGCUUAUAUGAGUAGAUUAUAUUUUUAUUUUGGUCAUAUUUCUUAUUUUUCUAAUCUCAUCUGUCCCCUAUUUCCCAUCCCACAUCAAAUGGUGAUAGAGCUUCCAUAUCAUAUGUCGAACCCAUUAAAGCCAAAAGUAAGAAGUUAAAGAACUAUUUUGUACUGGCUAUACAAAGAACUAUAUUACAGUACUACACACCCAAAAAAAAAAAAAAUGAAGGCACCAUUCAUACUUCCAAAUCCAGCACUAGCACUUGAAAACAAUAGAAACAAAGGAAUUUGCCAAUAAAAAAAGUCAGCUUGAGAAAGCUAAGAAGAUGCAACUAGAAGCUAAGUGAUGUAAGGGAAGGAAAUCUAUUCCGAAAGAACUCCAAAUUGAAUUCAGGAAGUAACAUUGACUUACCCAGUUACAAAAGGAAGCCACUUUAAUCCUUUAAGAUGAUUAUGAUGAAAUUGGUUCCCUGUAUUGAAACAAUAAACUGCACCAAGGAUAGCACUAAAGGUAGAGCCAGAUUACAAGGGAAGAAAAAAGGGAGGAAAAAAAAAUUUACAACAUGAAAUUGGACUUUUGUUUUAUCUUCCACAAUCAAGAAAUUCGACUAAAAAAGUAUAAAACAAGUACAAAAUAUGAAAUUUUUAGCAAUCUUACAAAAUCACACCCAAAUCUCAAUAAGAUUAUACAUAGUUUUAGUAAAGCUCUACAACUAUUUAUUUAACACCUAAUAAGAUCAUCUCCACAAAUUUAAAAGCUUAAAACAAAGAAAGAAUACUUUUGAAUACAAAUAUACAAUGGAGUAGAAAGAGUACAUAUACCAUCUCUAGCCCAUAAUUCAGACUUAUCCCCAUUGCACUUAUAAAUCAAGAUAUGAAGUUGAGGGUCUAAAGUCUUCAACUCCUUGUAGUUCUUCUUCACAGAUGAUCUGUAAAAGUUAUAAUAGAAAGGUAAUUAGUUUGCAACUCUUUCUAGCAAGUUGAUUAGUAAUUCCUAACCAAGUUUAUAGCUUAUUAAUUAUAGUUGGAAUGCCCCCAAAGUUAUUAAACCCCAACCAAUAGAAACAGUGAGUUUUAAAUUAGUUGUGAGCAAUGCAUAGUCAGCCAUCAUUCUCAUUUUGGUCUCCCAUGAAUAUGAUGGCAAUAUGUAUAAUGGUAUUUUCCCAAUAUCAGACUAAGACAGCAUCUUUAUAACAAUAAUUCUGACAUUUUCUACUAUUUUUAUCUUUUUGCUAACAAAAUGUACAUUAGAACAUAAAUUUGAAGAAAAAUAAAAUUUAAGCAUACUCAUGUCAUUUAAUCAUAAAAAUGAACAUCAAAAUUAAGCCUAGAUCUCAACAAUUAAACUCUAAACAAAUUAAACAAAAAAAAAAAAUCAGCUACCCAAAUGAAAUUUGCGACUGCAAUGAAGCUCCGCACUUUUUGAACUUUUUGAGGCUUAGACUGAUUUGUAAUGUAGAGUUGUGCUUGAGAGUGAAGGAGUAGAGCUUAUCAAUUCGUUCAUCACUCACUGCAAAUUUGCCAAGUUUUGAUAUGUUAGCUUAAUCUAUUUACAAAACCAAACGACACCAAUUAUUUUAUUAUUUUAAAAUUUUUAAAAUUAAUUAAAUAUCAACAAUGGCAAUUUUCAAAUUAAACAAAUCUUAAAAAAUUUAAAAUUGUUAUAUUUUCGCGACAAAACGAUAUAUGUCAUAAAAUUUAUAUUAUAAAAAUGUAUGGUAAUUAUCCACCGAUC
This 2528-nucleotide long non-coding RNA is filed under the name Citrus x clementina. RNAcentral's name for it is "Citrus clementina (C. clementina) long non-coding RNA (CCLE_LNC002242)". The record is from RNAcentral. Lineage: Eukaryota; Viridiplantae; Streptophyta; Magnoliopsida; Sapindales; Rutaceae.